Molecule: long non-coding RNA, 1473 nt
Organism: Gigantopelta aegis
Lineage: Eukaryota; Metazoa; Mollusca; Gastropoda; Neomphalida; Peltospiridae
Exons: 3
Source: RefSeq, a predicted model, not a curated record
CUUCAUUUUAUAAUUGUUCUACACCUGUAGUAUAUAUUUGUUAUUAUAGUUGCUAUAAUCUCGUCCGUGUGUUAAUAUAUAAACCUGUGGAAUUGUCCAGAGCUUAAGCUUAAAAAACUACCUGACAAUGGGGUGUGGUUCUUCGGUGCCGGAAGAGCACUUUCGCCUACAAGCUUUUGACUAUAGUGAAUUUGACAAACAGCAGGAAUCGGCGCAUGAAGACGUCGACGUCAAUCGCGUCGGCGACACCGUCGACAACGUCAGCACGAACGGAGAAGAUCGUCAGACAUCGGAUCAGAAACAAGAUUGAUGACCACGUCAGUCAGUGGCGGAUCACGGGGUGUGUGGAGAAGUGAGGGGUGGGGAUGAAAGGUACAGUCGCCGACUGCUAAAACGAAAGAUCAUAUUCUGAAGGAAACAACGCGCGAGACUUGUCGUAUCUCACGUAUAGGAGAUUGAUCUAAACACACAGAUCCUGUUGGCUACUCCACGGCGAUAACCUAAAGGUGAAAGCCACAGCAUCCAAUGAAAUUUACACUACGGCAACUGAUUUUUCUCUAACGUAUAACUGAAUAAACGCACGAAUGCUCUGAAAAUAAAUAGUACAGUGGGAAAGACGUUUAUUUUAAAUCGUCUUGUUUUUUCACGAUAGGUAUGAAAGAGAAAACUACAAACUGUCUUUUUCAGUUACAUCUGAACUGGAUAUAAUAUAGUGUCGAACUCACAUUCACUCGUUAGAUAAAGUUUUAAGAAACUUGAUUAAUACAUCAGAGUCGUAGCUAGUGGUGUGUGUGUGUGUGGGGCAAGAGGUGCUCCCCCCAAAAAAACAAAUCUGGUAAAAAUAAUAGAAACUUUUAAAAAAUCCUCUUCUUAACGGUUUGAUGAGUUUUAAGUAUGUAUCCUCCCUGAAAUGGCUGCAAAAUGGUAUUUCAGUCUCUAGAUUUCAAAAUGUUCCUGGGGGCAUGCCCCUGGAUCCCCUAGUGUCUUGCGCCUUCCAUGCCCGUUCAUUUUUCGCUCCAGACAGUGCACCACGACUGAUAUGUGCUAUCUUGUCUGUGGGAUGGUUUAUAUAAAAGAUCCCUUGCUGCUAAUCGAAGAGAGUAGCCCAUGAAGUAGCGACAGCGGGGUUCCUCCCUCAAUAUCUGUGUGGUCCUUAACCUUAUGUCUUAUGCCAUAUAACCGUAAAUAAAAUGUGCUGAAUGCGUCGUUAAAUAAAACAUUUCCUUCCUUCCUUCUUCUUCCAUGCCCGUUCAUUCCAAGAGAUCGUCUGUUCCCUCCACAAAAAAACCCUAGCUACGUUUGAUGAGUUUUAAGUAUGUAUCCUCUCUGACAUAGCUGCAAAAUGGUAUUUCAGAGUCUCUAGAUUUCAACAUUUUCCUGGGGGCAUGCCCCCGGAUCCCCUAGUGUCGUGCGUUUUCCAUGCCCGUUCAUUCGAAGCGUUCAUCUGCCCCCUCCACAACAGAAAUCCUAGCU